Long non-coding RNA from Rhea pennata, 4378 nucleotides. RefSeq lists it as uncharacterized. The record is from RefSeq and is a predicted model, not a curated record. NCBI's taxonomy places the organism in Eukaryota, Metazoa, Chordata, Aves, Rheiformes, Rheidae. The transcript is spliced from 3 exons.
ACAGAACUGGGUCCAGCAGCAUCUCCUCUACUCCCUCCAGCCCCAGGGCAGCAUCUUCCCACCCCACUUCACCUCUCGUCAGCGCGGAGCAGUGUGUGGGGCCACCUGGUGAACUUGUACAGAGGGACCCCAGCUAACCCCGCCGGAGGAAAUAUCCAUACUGCUGCAGCCCUGAGCAGCAGAUCUACAGCAGCCUGAGAUCCCCAUUAUAAUUCCCACCGUAGUAAUCAGGAGAUGGCAAUGAAGCAUUGCACGAGCACUCUGAAGUCCAAGGGCUGGCAUUUGCAAUGUGGUACGGCUUCUGGAGCCCACAGGCCAGAAAAACAAACCAGGUGAAUCUGAUGCUGUGGUGCCAGGAGGACUUCAUGCCAGCAGAAGAGACAUGCCUCCAGAAGAUUUGCAGGAUGCUGAAGGACCCUCUUUGGGCCCCACCUCUGUGUCCUUGUCCCCAAGCUUUACCCUCUUCCUGUCUCUCCAGCAUCAUUUUUUUUGCAGUGUGUGAGAAUGUCACAUUUGCCUUGACUAGAUGUUAACCUUGGGUGGCAUAUUCUGAGCUGAGCUCCCUUGAUCUGAAUUUCUCAGAAGUACAAUAAGUCUCAAGGGUCUGAGGCAGAUGAGCAGAGCACGAGUGCAUGGCAGAGAGAGAAGAAAAGGAAAGGCAACACGAUAUGUAUACACAUCCACACUGUAAGAUGCCAUUUCUGCCCUCUGCAAAGCCUCUCUGUGCACCAAGUCACCCCUGGUGAAAGCCUGGCAGUGGAGACAUCUGGACAGGCAGGAAAUAAGAAUAUAAAGUGAGGGUUUGUGUUUUGCUGCCUGCCGUAUGGCAGGGGGCCGUCACUUGUCCUGGCCGGCUUUUCUCUGCUCCCAGGUGUCCAGCCACAGCCAUUAUGUGAGUCUCCAUGGGAUGUGCUGGGGAGAUCGCUGUGACAGUGACCUGCAGGAGAGGAAGUUUCCAACCACGGGGAGGGAUUCACGCCAGCUCGACAGCAAAAAGUUGCUGCUGCCUUUUCCUCUGCCCGUCCCCAGCCCGCAUCCCCACGUCAUGCCCGGGGCCUGACCAGCCUGUCUUGCAAAAUAAAGCCACGACAAGACCCAGCUCUCACAGAAAGAAGGGGCAAUUCUCCCAGAGCAUUUGUUUCACAUCAGGGAAAUAAAAAACAGCCACUUCUGAAGCGACUAUCAAUGACGGCAGAACUGAGACCAAGCGAAAGAAAGGUAAUCGUCAGCGAGUGGCAGAGAACGCUGGAGCAGUUCCCUUCAGCCUCUCUUGUUCUCUCCCAGCUGAGGUUUCUUCUAUCAGAAAAUCUCUCCAGACAUGGUGAUUUCUUUCAGACUCCAGUGUAGCUACAGCAUGGACAGCAAGGCCAAAGCCCUCUUUUGGGCCCAUACCAGCACGUACCUGCCAGCAGAACCACGUGGGACAGAAGGGGAGACCUUCUCCUUGUUACCCCCCACGUGAAUCCCUGCCUGUCUCGCCAGAUGUUCACAGCUCUCAGCACCACAGAGCCCUCAGAAGAGGUGGAAGAGCCCUCUCUCUCCUAGCCCCCAUGCCAGGCACACAUCCUGCCUGCCCAUGCACCACACCACUGUCCGUCUGUCCAGGGCAGGUCCCCACCAUAAGCAGUGCUGUCAUGUAGGGAAGGAUUUGAAAUGGCGCCAUCCUGGCAAGGUGAUCCAGACCAGGGGUUCUCACACAGAAGAAAUGUGUUUCACCCUGAUUAGCCUUGGAAACUCAAACUUCUGCAUCUAGGAUUUGGGGUUGAACAAAUACUGUGGAUUCCACAUCCUUUUUCCUGGCUGGCUAUGUUAUAUAUGAAUAUAGGUUUUUGUAGCAUGGCAAAAAGCCCUGCAGGAAAAGAAAGAAAAAACACAUCAAAAAAAGAAAGUGAUUUUUUUGCACUUUCUCAGCAACAUGUUGAGAAAACCCUUCCCAACUCCAGGCAGCAGGAAGAAAAGAUAAAUUGUUUGUAGAGGACAAUUCAAGGCUGGAGUACAGAACCAGUGUGUGAUUUAAUUCAGUUUGUCAUUGUCUGUCUCUCUCCGUCUGCUCUUCUCCCCGGGAUGCUGCUUAACUUCUUUGGGGGAUGCAUGAGGGAGAUUUAUCCCACGGGUUGCUUCAGCUCAGGCCUCUCCAUUCACGUCUUCGGUUCAAAAGCACCGAACUUUUGCAGGGUGCUGGCCUGCAGCUUCCAUUGAUUUCAGAACACAAGUCAGUGACUGCAAACUCUGACAGUUUUUCAGAGGGCAAAAGGUUCAUGGAUGAAGAGCUGGGACAUAAACCCUUCCUCCUAGGAGCUUUAAAAGGCCAGGAUGGGAUUAAAAUUGAGUGAGAUCAGCUGAUCCAGAGGCACCCAUAUAUCAGAAUUUCCUGAGAGCAAGUGCUGGUAGUGAGAGUCAUAUCUCUUUUCCCCAUCUUCCCAGAGAGAAUAGCGAAUGUGGCAGUGCAGUUUACCUACCAUUUUUUGGCGCUCAUUGUUCCCAAUAGCUGAUAAAGAAGAGAGAUGCUUCAUCAGCCCUGUGGGGUAAAUCUCUGCAUCGCCAUUUCAUUGGUACCACGUCCAGCUGAUUGAUGCUGCAUGGGCCUGCAGCUCAUUCAUGGUGCCAAGCAAAAACUGCUCUAUAAAACCAAACUGGACUAAACGUUUCAGGGGAAAAUGUUUCACUAGAGGCUUCUAAUCAGUCCCAAAUCACAAGCAGCUGAAAUACAACACACAGCACAGGAACAAUUCUGUGUUUAUCCAGAAGAGUGAAUCAAAGGUGCAUCGGCUCUAUCUGGGCUAAGAAGGUCAGCAUGCUCCCAGCUCCUGGCCUGCGUUAGGGAUGCAUGCCACACUUCUUUUCACUGUGCCACUGUGACUAGAAACUGAGGCACCUUUUUGGCCAUGUGGAGUCAGAUCUCAAGUUUCUACCAGCCUGCAGUAGAAAGCCAAUCACUUCCUUGAGUGUUCAGCACCUCCUGAAUUUGCACUUCGCCUACAUGGGUUGAUUUAGUACACAAGCUUUCUGAAAAAUGCUCUAGAUGCCAGCUCCACAGACUUAACCAAACCAGUUAAAGGUGAGCUCUUGUAUUCUCCACCCCUCCACACACUUGUGUCAGAGGCAGAUUGAUGUGUCAAGCCCCUCAGAGAAGAAUUGCUUUGUAGAUGGAGAGGUGGAUUUGUCCAGAUAUCAAGCUUUGUUGCAGAAGAGCAUUAGGAGCAGGAGAUAGUCCAACAGUUUUAUGGAAUUUCAGGACCAGGAUAGUACUGUGAACAAGACCCUUUUUUUUUUUGGUGGGGGGAGGGAGGAGAGAAGAAGAUUUGACCAUAAUGCAAUGGUAUUUUUCCCCUAGGGUUAGAGAACAGGUCAUUUCUCUCCUUUUUGUUUUUUGUUUUGUUUUGUAAAAACGUAGCCCUGUGAGUCCAGCUGGUUUCACUAGACUCUGGACAACGUCCUCCUUCACAUAUAUUUGCCCAAUUGGAAGAACUGUCUGGCCUCAGCCAUCUCCUGGUCACCAUCCCUGUGAAGAAAGUUACCAGGUGCUGAGAUCAGCCAGCUGAGCAGCCCAUGCUGUCAAUCCUUAAUCCACUUUGGUUACAAUAAACUGGGUCAGCAAAGACUUGCUACUGAAACCAAUUAAAGUGGUUGACUGCAAUUGAAUCAGGUUACAGAGUUCCCUUGAGCAGCUCAGAUGGCAAAUCUGAGGGGACAGUAGCCUCCAGCCACUCUGAUGAGCAGCUGGAGAUGGUGUUGGAGCCAUUAUGUUUUCCAGAAGCCUUUAUUUAGAGUGAAGCUGUCAAUCUACAUCCUUAAUUGGUAGUAACAAAUCUCAUCACAGGUUGGUGUUUCAAAAAGCCACCUUCUGUGUCAGGAAAAGCUGUCAUGGGGGAGGCUUGGAAGCACUGGAGAAUAGAUAACAUGUAAAGAUCCCUUUUGAUGGGCUCAGGGUUAACCACCAUUACUAUCAAUUAUUCAUGGUUUCCGUGCGGAUUUAAGGCAAAGAAGGUAUUAAAAAUUUACAUUUUUUCUUCCUUCUCACGCCUCCUAGGCAUUAUCACCUCUUAAAUAUGGUUGCUGUAUGUGAGUAUUUGCUGUUAAUUAGCUGUAAUGAUAAUUACAAGGAAAGCACAUAUGCCUUAACUUUGGAGAUGCAAUGCAUUUCAUGUUAAACCAGACUAACAGAAAAUUCUUCACCCUCUCUUUUAUUCCAGAAUCCUCAAUUGCACUUUUAUUUAGUAUUUAUUAUAACUGAAGAUCUAGCUCUAGAUAUUGGUCUGCCUUACAGCUCUGAAGGCCUCGAUGAUUAUGUGAUUUAUGCCUUUUUAAGACUGUUAAUUAUUUUGUGGAUACUCUGCUCUCUCAAAAAAGUUUUAUCAUUUGUUAAUAAAAAUGAUAU